RNAcentral lists this non-coding RNA (26 nucleotides) under Gallus gallus (chicken). Lineage: Eukaryota; Metazoa; Chordata; Aves; Galliformes; Phasianidae. RNAcentral also lists the same sequence under 2 other names. The record is from RNAcentral.
CGGUGGCGCACGCCUGUAGUCCCAGC